Molecule: ribosomal RNA, 710 nt
Filed under: uncultured bacterium
Lineage: Bacteria
Description: bacterial SSU rRNA
Rfam family: Bacterial small subunit ribosomal RNA
Source: RNAcentral
GCUAGAAGAAGUCAUGGCGGACGGGUGAGUAACGUGUAAAGAACUUACCAUAUAGACUGGGAUAACAGAGGGAAACUUCUGAUAAUACUGGAUAAGUUAGUAGUAGCAUUACUAAGUAAUGAAAGGUAGCAAUACGCUAUAUGAGAGCUUUGCAUCCUAUUAGCUAGUUGGUGGGGUAAAAGCCUACCAAGGCGAUGAUAGGUAGCCGGCCUGAGAGGGUGGACGGCCACAAGGGGACUGAGAUACGGCCCUUACUCCUACGGGAGGCAGCAGUGGGGAAUAUUGGACAAUGGAGGCAACUCUGAUCCAGCAAUUCUGUGUGUGUGAAGAAGGUUUUAGGACUGUAAAACACUUUUAGUAGGGAAGAAAGAAAUGACGGUACCUACAGAAGAAGCGACGGCUAAAUACGUGCCAGCAGCCGCGGUAAUACGUAUGUCGCGAGCGUUAUCCGGAAUUAUUGGGCUUAAAGGGCAUCUAGGCGGUUAAACAAGUUGAAGGUGAAAACCUGUGGCUCAACCAUAGGCUUGCCUACAAAACUGUAUAACUAGAGUACUGGAAAGGUGGGUGGAACUACACGAGUAGAGGUGAAAUUCGUAGAUAUGUGUAGGAAUGCCGAUGAUGAAGAUAACUCACUGGACAGCAACUGACGCUGAAGUGCGAAAGCUAGGGGAGCAAACAGGAUUAGAUACCCUGGUAGUCCUAGCUGUAAA